This 312-nucleotide ribosomal RNA is filed under the name Triticum aestivum (bread wheat). RNAcentral describes it as "partial small subunit ribosomal RNA". The record is from RNAcentral. Lineage: Eukaryota; Viridiplantae; Streptophyta; Magnoliopsida; Poales; Poaceae.
AUGCAGUUAGGGUGUCUCCAUUGGAGCUCGCGAGCAACCUUUAACGGACGCCAUCAUCAUCUCCUGUUGGUCCUCCAUGGUGGAGGAAUGGAGGAGGAGACGGAUCUGGCAAAGCCCUUCUAUAUAAGCUUGCUAAGGCCCCGAGGCGAGACGAUGCGAAGGGCGGCCCCCUUUCUUCCUCCUGACCAUGUUGCCAAAGGGGAGGCAGCGCAACUUCGGUUUGGUGUCCAUGGCGUUUGCUGUGGAGGGCUCGACAGACCAAGUGGUCUCGUCCCCGGCGCCGAGGUCAGUGCCGUUCUCAAGCUGUUUUGA